GGCGAACGGGUGAGUAACACGUGAGUAACCUGCCCUUAACUCUGGGAUAAGCCUGGGAAACUGGGUCUAAUACCGGAUAUGACUCCUCAUCGCAUGGUGGGGGGUGGAAAGCUUUUUGUGGUUUUGGAUGGACUCGCGGCCUAUCAGCUUGUUGGUGAGGUAAUGGCUUACCAAGGCGACGACGGGUAGCCGGCCUGAGAGGGUGACCGGCCACACUGGGACUGANACACGGCCCAGACUCCUACGGGAGGCAGCAGUGGGGAAUAUUGCACAAUGGGCGCAAGCCUGAUGCAGCGACGCCGCGUGAGGGAUGACGGCCUUCGGGUUGUAAACCUCUUUCAGUAGGGAAGAAGCGAAAGUGACGGUACCUGCAGAAGAAGCGCCGGCUAACUACNUGCCANCAGCCGCGGUAAUACNUAGGGCGCAAGCGUUAUCCGGAAUUAUUGGGCGUAAAGAGCUCGUAGGCGGUUUGUCGCGUCUGCCGUGAAAGUCCGGGGCUCAACUCCNGAUCUGCGGUGGGUACGGCCAGACUACAGUGAUGUAGGGGAGACUGGAAUUCCUGGUGUAGCGGUGAAAUGCGCAGAUAUCAUGAGGAACACCGAUGGCGAAGGCAGGUCUCUGGGCAUUAACUGACGCUGAGGAGCGAAAGCAUGGGGAGCGAACAGGAUUAGAUACCCUGGUAGUCCAUGCCGUAAACGUUGGGCACUAGGUGUGGGGGACAUUCCACGUUUUCCGCGCCGUAGCUAACGCAUUAAGUGCCCCGCCUGGGGAGUACGGCCGCAAGGCUAAAACUCAAAGGAAUUGACGGGGGCCCGCACAAGCGGCGGAGCAUGCGGAUUAAUUCGAUGCAACGCGAANAACCUUACCAAGGCUUGACAUGAACCGGAAAUACCUGGAGACANGUGCCCCGCUUGCGGUCNAUUUACA
This 927-nucleotide ribosomal RNA is filed under the name Arthrobacter sp. SKT-6a. RNAcentral describes it as "bacterial SSU rRNA". It matches the Rfam family "Bacterial small subunit ribosomal RNA", at positions 97 to 1036 of the family's 1533-position model. The record is from RNAcentral. Lineage: Bacteria; Bacillati; Actinomycetota; Actinomycetes; Micrococcales; Micrococcaceae.